RNAcentral lists this ribosomal RNA (253 nucleotides) under uncultured bacterium. Its description in RNAcentral is "partial 16S ribosomal RNA". It matches the Rfam family "Bacterial small subunit ribosomal RNA", at positions 524 to 776 of the family's 1533-position model. The record is from RNAcentral.
UACGUAGGGGGCAAGCGUUGUCCGGAAUCAUUGGGCGUAAAGCGCGUGUAGGCGGUCCGGUAAGUCGGUUGUGAAAGUCCAGGGCUCAACCCUGGGAUGCCGACCGAUACUGUCGGACUAGAGUUCGGAAGAGGCGAGUGGAAUUCCUGGUGUAGCGGUGGAAUGCGCAGAUAUCAGGAGGAACACCGAUGGCGAAGGCAGAUCUCUGGGCCGUAACUGACGCUGAGGAGCGAAAGCGUGGGGAGCAAACAGG